GGAGAGGGCCGGAGGGCCGCGGUCGCGCUCAUGCUCCGGCGUAAGGCGGAGUGGGGCGCGGCCGAGGAAAGUCCGGACUCCACAGGGCAGGCCGCUGGACAAGGGCCUAAGUGAGAUAAGGUCCAAGUCCAGGAGGGGUGACCCUCGGGUAAGGCCACAGAAACCAGACCGCCUCCUCUCUUCCGGGGAGGCAAGGGUGAAAGGGUGGCCGCACAAGUACAAGCAUGAGCGUGAGCGGCCUAAGGGGUAAGAGCCCACCGCCGGCCUGGGUGACCGGGCCGGGUCUGGCAGCCCCCCGGCCGGAGCAAGGUCAAGUAGGGAGGAAGAUGAGGGUGGCCCGCCCUCUUGCCUCCGGGUGGACCGCGGAGAUAGAUGGCCCUCUUAAAAACAGAAUCCGGCUUAUGGCCCUCUCCCUCU
Molecule: RNase P RNA, 417 nt
Filed under: Candidatus Bipolaricaulota bacterium
Lineage: Bacteria; Candidatus Bipolaricaulota
Description: RNase P RNA component class A
Rfam family: Bacterial RNase P class A
About the family: Ribonuclease P (RNase P) is a ubiquitous endoribonuclease, found in archaea, bacteria and eukarya as well as chloroplasts and mitochondria. Its best characterised activity is the generation of mature 5'-ends of tRNAs by cleaving the 5'-leader elements of precursor-tRNAs. Cellular RNase Ps are ribonucleoproteins.
Source: RNAcentral